CCACCACCACCACCAUUAUCAUCAUCACUACCACUGCUGCCACCUCUGUCAUCAUCACCACCACCGUCACCAUCAUCGUCAUCACUGCCAGCAUCGUUGUUCAUGAAUAUUGUCAUUGCCACCACCACCACUAACAUCACUAUCAUCACUGCCACUACCAACUUAACCGACAUCACCACCACCACCACCACCACCACCACCACCACCAUCAUCAUCAUCAUCAUCAUCAACAACAACCAUCUAUGAAAUACACAAACCAAAAUAACAUGAACUUUGGGAAUUCCAUAAAAGGAAGCAUGCUGUGACUCGGCUGUUACUUAAUCGGUGCAGGCCUUAGAUCCAAGUGUGACUUGGCACUUAGUUGAGCAGGGAUUAAGUUGAGUGUAACUUGAUACUCGGUUGGGGCUUGAAUCUACCUGGGUCUACUUUGCCUUUCAUCCUUUCAGGGUCUGUGACAUAAGCAUCAGUCGAGUCCCGGGGUCGAGGUAAUCGAUUUGUCCCCUCCCUCGAAAUUUCAGGCCUUGUGCCUGUUGAGUGUAGUUUGAUACUCAGGGCUUAGAUCAGUUGUUCUCAACCAGCUUUGGCCUGUGGGCCCCUUUAAUUCCUAUUUUAUUUGGGUGGACCUUCAUACCCAUUCAAUGUUUUAAAAAUAAACCUAUUUUAUUUUAGUAAUUAAAUAUUAUUAGGAAUUAAUUAAAAAAAAUUGUUAAAAUAUUUUGUGGAUUGAACAAUGAAUCUUUAUGGGGCCCCUUAAGUGUCAUAUGGAUCCGAGUUGAGACCCACUUGUAGUAACUUGGUAAGGGCUUAAGUUGAGAGUAACUUUGCAUUAGACUUAAGUUGAGUGUAGCUUUAUAUCCGAUUUGAGUAUAACUUGGUUAGUGCUUCAGUUGAGUGUUACUUGGCCGGGGUCCUAGUUGAGUUGGAACUUGGUUGAAGCUUGAGUGUAACUUGGUUGGUGUCCUAGUUGAGUGGAACUUGGUUGAAGCUUAAGUGUAACUUGGUUGGUGUCCUAGUUGAGUGUAACUUGGUUGGGGUCCUAGUUGAGUGUAACUUGGUUGGGGUCCUAGUUGAGUGUAACUUGGUUGGGGUCCUAGUUGAAUGGAACUUGGUUGAAACUUAGAUUGAGGGGGACUUUGUAUUGGACUUAAGUAAACUGCUCAGGUCUUAGGUUAAAGGUUGAGCAUAACUUUGAACAGGUCUUAAGUUGAGUGUAACUUUGUGCAGGGCUUAGGUUUAGCACAGCUUGGCACAUAGCAAGAUUCUGCGUAACUUGAAGCAGGCUUGGGUUGAGUGUAACUUGGUACAUGGCUUAGGUCGAGUGUAACUUUGUACAUAGCAAAGUCGAGUGUAACUUCAUUAAGGUUCAAAUGUAACUUGGUACGUGGUUUAGGUUGAGCGUAACUUGGUACAUGGCUUGAGUUGAGGGUGACUUGAUGCAUGGCUAAGGUCGAGUGUAACUACAAUAAGUUAUAACGAGUCCUCGUUUGACAUACUUUGGGCAAUAUGAACGCCUACAGUGGUCCCUUAGACCUUGUAUCGAUGACUGAUAAGAUUGUUUCAAAUGCUUGGUGUUUUGUCAAAAUACUGCUGCUGCUGCUACUACUACUACUACUACUACAUACGUUCACACAAAUGUUUGCAGUUGUCUUUUUAUAAUAUCUGAUAUUAAUUACUCUGUGUUAAUGGAAUUUUUUUAAUUUUCUCCCUAUAUAGCUAAGUUUAUUAUUUUUAUUAUUAUUAUUAUUAUUAUUAUUAUUAUUAAUUAUAUCUAAUUUUUUUUUAAAUGUUAAAAACCAUUAACAAAAAUUACCAAUUCAUUUUUUUUUUUCCUUUCUUCAAUGUAUCCUUUGCAAAAGAGUCAUGACUGUCACAACUUCCUCUUUUCAAGAAUAUUUAAAGCAAACUUU
Molecule: long non-coding RNA, 1907 nt
Organism: Octopus sinensis (East Asian common octopus)
Lineage: Eukaryota; Metazoa; Mollusca; Cephalopoda; Octopoda; Octopodidae
Exons: 2
Source: RefSeq, a predicted model, not a curated record